RNAcentral lists this ribosomal RNA (190 nucleotides) under Clostridioides difficile. RNAcentral's name for it is "partial 16S ribosomal RNA". It matches the Rfam family "Bacterial small subunit ribosomal RNA", at positions 1 to 198 of the family's 1533-position model. Lineage: Bacteria; Bacillati; Bacillota; Clostridia; Peptostreptococcales; Peptostreptococcaceae. The record is from RNAcentral.
UUAUUUGAGAGUUUGAUCCUGGCUCAGGAUGAACGCUGGCGGCGUGCCUAACACAUGCAAGUUGAGCGAUUUACUUCGGUAAAGAGCGGCGGACGGGUGAGUAACGCGUGGGUAACCUACCCUGUACACACGGAUAACAUAUCGAAAGGUAUGCUAAUACGGGAUAAUAUAUUUGAGAGGCAUCUCUUGA